RNAcentral lists this unclassified non-coding RNA (316 nucleotides) under fungal sp. Its description in RNAcentral is "partial internal transcribed spacer region". The stretch from base 1 to 46 matches the Rfam family "Eukaryotic small subunit ribosomal RNA", at positions 1786 to 1831 of the family's 1831-position model. Lineage: Eukaryota; Fungi. The record is from RNAcentral.
AAGUCGUAACAAGGUCUCCGUAGGUGAACCUGCGGAGGGAUCAUUAACACGUUUCAUACACGUAUUCCAAACCAACCCGUGAACCACAUGAUAUCACACCCUUUCCAUCUCCUUGCUUUCCAAGGGUCAAACCUGAGAGGCAAGAAGAUCACAAACCCCUUUCACCCCCUUAUAACCACCUGGACUGAUAUCUGUUUUAUUCAUCUUCUCUUCCUAUUCACUGGAGCAAUCCGGCGUUGGGGACUGACUGAUGUAAUAAUCCAAUGUAUAAUCAAAUAUCUAAGCACAACUCUUAGCAACGGAUAUCUUGGUUCUC